This 254-nucleotide ribosomal RNA is filed under the name uncultured bacterium. Its description in RNAcentral is "partial 16S ribosomal RNA". It matches the Rfam family "Bacterial small subunit ribosomal RNA", at positions 524 to 776 of the family's 1533-position model. The record is from RNAcentral.
UACGUAGGGUGCGAGCGUUGCCCGGAUUUAUUGGGCGUAAAGAGCUCGUAGGCGGCUUGUCGCGUCGACUGUGAAAACCCGUGGCUCAACCAUGUGGUCUGCAGUCGAUACGGGCAGGCUAGAAUUCGGUAGGGGAGACUGGAAUUCCUGGUGUAGCGGUGAAAUGCGCAGAUAUCAGGAGGAACACCGGUGGCGAAGGCGGGUCUCUGGGCCGAUAUUGACGCUGAGGAGCGAAAGCGUGGGGAGCGAACAGG